UAAUACGUAGGGUGCGAGCGUUAAUCGGAAUUACUGGGCGUAAAGCGUGCGUAGGCGGUUCGUUGUGUCUGUGGUGAAAGCCCCGGGCUUAACCUGGGAAUGGCCAUGGAAACUGGCGAGCUGGAGUGUGGCAGAGGAGGGUGGAAUUCCGCGUGUAGCAGUGAAAUGCGUAGAGAUGCGGAGGAACACCGAUGGCGAAGGCAGCCCUCUGGGCUAACACUGACGCUGAGGCACGAAAGCGUGGGGAGCAAACAGGAUUAGAUACCCUGGUAGUCCACGCCCUAAACGAUGUCGACUGGGUGUCCGGGAAGCGAUUUCUGGGUACCGUAGCUAACGCGUGAAGUCGACCGCCUGGGGAGUACGGCCGCAAGGUUA
RNAcentral lists this ribosomal RNA (375 nucleotides) under uncultured bacterium. RNAcentral's name for it is "bacterial SSU rRNA". It matches the Rfam family "Bacterial small subunit ribosomal RNA", at positions 521 to 896 of the family's 1533-position model. The record is from RNAcentral.